This 76-nucleotide transfer RNA is filed under the name Angelakisella sp. RNAcentral's name for it is "tRNA-Thr". It matches the Rfam family "tRNA". Rfam says of the family: Transfer RNA (tRNA) molecules are approximately 80 nucleotides in length. The record is from RNAcentral. Lineage: Bacteria; Bacillati; Bacillota; Clostridia; Eubacteriales; Oscillospiraceae.
GCUGGUGUAGCUCAGCUGGUAGAGCAGCUGAUUUGUAAUCAGCAGGUCGGGGGUUCGAAUCCGUCUGCCAGCUCCA